RNAcentral lists this ribosomal RNA (621 nucleotides) under Triticum aestivum (bread wheat). RNAcentral describes it as "partial small subunit ribosomal RNA". The record is from RNAcentral. Lineage: Eukaryota; Viridiplantae; Streptophyta; Magnoliopsida; Poales; Poaceae.
AUGGAUGCUAUGGAGGAGGAUACGCCUCCCGCGCCACCACCACCGCAUACGACGGGCGCGAAGCAGCCGCCGUACAAGGAUCCUGACGACGGGAGGCAGCGGUUCCUCCUGGAGCUGGAGUUCAUCCAGUGCCUCGCCAACCCCAUCUACAUCAACUAUCUAGCGCAGAACCGGUACUUUGAGGAUGAGGCGUUCAUCGGGUAUCUCAAGUACCUCAAGUAUUGGCAGCGUCCGGAGUACAUCAAAUACAUAAUGUAUCCGCACUGCCUUUUCUUUCUUGAGCUUCUCCAAAAUGCAAAUUUCCGAAACGCAAUGGCACAUCCAGCAAACAAGGAAGUUGCUCAUAGGCAGCAAUAUUUCUUCUGGAAAAACUACAGGAACAAUAGACUGAAGCACAUCCUGCCACGUCUUCCUCCCGAACCAACUCCUGCGCCUGCACCAGCACCAGCACCAGUGCCGACACCUCCACCUGUUCCUGCACCACCAUCGUCUUUGCCAACUAUGUCAGCUGUUGGUGCUUCUGCAAUGCCCCCCAUGCAGUUUAUAGGAACUCCUGGCACCAACAACCCAAAGAAUGAGAUGAGAAAUGUUAUGGGUGGUAGAAAGAGAAAGAUGGGCUAG